CAACUCUCAACACGAUAUCUUGGCUCUCGCAACGAUGAAGACGCAGCGAAUGCGAAUACGUAGUGUGAAUUGCAGAAUUCCGUGAAUCAUCGAAUCUUUGAACGCAUAUUGCGCCCGCGGCUUCGGCCAAGGGCAUGCCUGCCUGAGCGUCAUU
RNAcentral lists this ribosomal RNA (154 nucleotides) under Klebsormidium flaccidum. RNAcentral describes it as "5.8S ribosomal RNA". It matches the Rfam family "5.8S ribosomal RNA". Rfam says of the family: 5.8S ribosomal RNA (5.8S rRNA) is a component of the large subunit of the eukaryotic ribosome. It is transcribed by RNA polymerase I as part of the 45S precursor that also contains 18S and 28S rRNA. Lineage: Eukaryota; Viridiplantae; Streptophyta; Klebsormidiophyceae; Klebsormidiales; Klebsormidiaceae. The record is from RNAcentral.